Molecule: ribosomal RNA, 510 nt
Filed under: uncultured marine eukaryote
Lineage: Eukaryota
Description: SSU rRNA
Rfam family: Eukaryotic small subunit ribosomal RNA
Source: RNAcentral
UUGCGGUUAAAAAGCUCGUAGUUGGAUUUCUGUCGAGAACGCGCGGUCCACGCUUUGCGUGAGUAUCUGUGUCGGUCUUGGCAUCCUCUGUAGGAUCGUUUCUGCGCUUGAUUGCGUGGAGCGGAACUGCAGACUUUUACUUUGAGGAAAUUAGAGUGUUCACGGCAGGCAAACGCCUUGAAUACAUUAGCAUGGAAUAAUAACAUAGGACCUUGGUUCUAUUUUGUUGGUUUCUAGAGCUGAGGUAAUGAUUAAUAGGGAUAAUUGGGGGCAUUCGCCUUAACACGUCAGAGGUGGAAUUCUUGGAUUGUGUUACGACGAACUACUGCGAAAGCAUUUGCCAAGGAUGUUUUCAUUGAUCAAGAACGAAAGUUAGGGGAUCGAAGACGCUUAGAUACCGUCGUAGUCUUAACCAUAAAUUAUGCCAACUAGAGAUUGGAGGUAGUUUUUUUUAUGACUCCUCCAGCACCUUAUGAGAAAUCUAAGUCUUUGGGUUCCGGGGGGAGUAUG